AGUUUGAUCCUGGCUCAGAACGAACGCUGGCGGCAUGCCUAACACAUGCAAGUCGAACGAUGCCUUCGGGCAUAGUGGCGCACGGGUGCGUAACGCGUGGGAAUCUGCCCUUGGGUUCGGAAUAACUCAGAGAAAUUUGAGCUAAUACCGGAUGAUGACGUAAGUCCAAAGAUUUAUCGCCCAAGGAUGAGCCCGCGUAAGAUUAGCUAGUUGGUGGGGUAAAAGCCUACCAAGGCGACGAUCUGUAGCUGGUCUGAGAGGACGACCAGCCACACUGGGACUGAGACACGGUCCAGACUCCUACGGGAGGCAGCAGUGGGGAAUAUUGGACAAUGGGGGCAACCCUGAUCCAGCCAUGCCGCGUGUGUGAAGAAGGCCUUCGGGUUGUAAAGCACUUUAAGCGGGGAGGAAGGCCUGAUGGCUAAUAUCCAUCGGGAUUGACGUUACCCGCAGAAUAAGCACCGGCAAACUUCGUG
This 476-nucleotide ribosomal RNA is filed under the name uncultured bacterium. Its description in RNAcentral is "bacterial SSU rRNA". It matches the Rfam family "Bacterial small subunit ribosomal RNA", at positions 10 to 507 of the family's 1533-position model. The record is from RNAcentral.